Hyaena hyaena (striped hyena) is the source of this 259-nucleotide long non-coding RNA. RefSeq lists it as uncharacterized. NCBI's taxonomy places the organism in Eukaryota, Metazoa, Chordata, Mammalia, Carnivora, Hyaenidae. The transcript has 3 exons. The record is from RefSeq and is a predicted model, not a curated record.
GACGACUUAAAACCUCUCAUGCCCUACUACUUGGCUACAAUUGCUGUCUCUCACCCCAAUAAUUCUCGUUACUCUGACAGAGAAAUGUGAUCUGUGAUUAGGUACCUAUUGGAUGAGCAACAUAACCGGUAUAACUACAAGGCACUCUGAUAAACAUUCAUUUGUCAAUAAAUUUCUAAAACCUGCCCAAACCAGGUGGUUUUGCUCAUACACAGGGAGUAGAAAUUCCUUCCAUCUGCCACAAAAGACUAUCUCCAAA